Molecule: long non-coding RNA, 724 nt
Organism: Oreochromis niloticus (Nile tilapia)
Lineage: Eukaryota; Metazoa; Chordata; Actinopteri; Cichliformes; Cichlidae
Exons: 3
Source: RefSeq, a predicted model, not a curated record
CUGCAAGUGCUCAGUCCAAGUUGGGCAAGUUGGUGUUUGUAACAUCUUUCUAUGAAAGUCUGAUAUGGGUUCUCUCCUAAACUUCUGUUAGAACGGUGGGAAACAUUGCUCCCGUGAGAACGGUAUAGUGGACUUCAUCGCCACUGACCCACAGUUAUUAGGGUGUGACACGAACUUGUGGACAGAGUACCGAGCUGCUGCUUUGCCAGGUGGAUUUCUGGUUGCGGGCAAAGGACCCGACACAUCAGUGUGUUUUAAUUUGUUUUAAACUGGUGUAGUCGCGAACGGUGAAGGCGCUGCAGGGAAAACAAAUCCUUUUUUUUCCUCACCGCUUCUGCAUGCACAGCGGUGGGCCUGAGUGAAGACGGCACUGAAGCUUUUGUUUUUCUCUAUAGUGUUUUGCCCAUCUGGGGUCGUGUGUCAGUUGCCGUCCCUUUUUAACCUGUGUGUUGUGUUGAUUUGUUCUUACACGGUUCCCCGCAGCGCUUGUCCUGUCUCACGGGCAAUCGUACAGUUUUAUCGUUUUUAUUAAACAAGGUAAAGUUUUUAAUUGUUAAGUGCCGCUGUUACAUUGUUACUUUUAUUUUGUAUUAAAAAUUAAAUUCUUUUUAACUGACUGUGCGCCUACGGCUCUGUCCUAUUUUAAAUAGGUACCUACCACGGGUCACAGAUGGUUGGCUGAAUAGAGCUCUGACUUUUUGUCAGCCUGGCUACAGUGCUGAAG